AUGCAUUGGAUCUCAUGGGAACAAUUGACGACGCCAAAGUGCAAAGGGGGUAUGGGCUUCAGGGACAUGCACCAGUUUAAUCUAGCUAUGUUGGGCAAACAAGGGUGGAGGCUGCUCGCACAGCCGGAUACAUUAUGCUCAAGGGUGCUAAAAGGACGGUAUUUUCCGGAAGUUGAUUUCAUGGAUGCUACGCUGCCCAAGUCAGCUUCCAAGACUUGGCGGGCGAUUAUGGCGGGCAGGGAAGCUCUCCAAGCCGGUUUGAUCAAAAGAAUUGGAGAUGGCAUAUCCACUUCUAUAUGGACAAACAGAUGGAUUCCGGGAACCAUCUCCAUGAUGUCACUGCUGCAACCAUCGCCUACCACACUCGACAAGGUCUCUGAUCUGAUAGAUAGUGAUAACUGGUCAUGGCGACAGCAGGUGGUCCGAGACAAUUUCAUUGCGCCAGAUGCCCAGGCCAUUCUUAAUAUUCCAUUGAGGCAAGGCGGUGGUGAAGAUUUUCUCGCUUGGGCGCUCGAUAAGUCAGGCAACUAUACUGUCAAGACG
This 543-nucleotide ribosomal RNA is filed under the name Triticum aestivum (bread wheat). RNAcentral describes it as "partial small subunit ribosomal RNA". The record is from RNAcentral. Lineage: Eukaryota; Viridiplantae; Streptophyta; Magnoliopsida; Poales; Poaceae.